CUCAUGUCUUCGUUUUCCAUCGGUGUGUUUCUCAUUCAGUCCGUAGUGAUCCAAACUGAUACAAACUGAUUUCUAGCAAAUAUGUAUGCGGUGAAAUAUACACACAACUAUGUCUAUCGAAGACGUGAUUGCACGAAAGUGGUGUUAAGGUCUGUGUCCACCGAUUCGUCAACCAUAGGGAUGCUCAAAUUUAUGCACAACUACAUAUACAGGAGCCAUAAGCGCACCAAAAUCGUGCUAAAUAGAGUACCCAGAAGCGAAGCCACCAAGUCAAUUAGUACGAUUGCAUUUGCAACAAACUGAUGCAGUUGAACAAAGAAGAGGAACAGAUUCGGAGAUGGGACGCAGCCCUGCAAAUUGAAAACCUUAGAGCAGAGAAGUUAUCCAGUAAAGAGGACAACUAUGUUGAUAAGAACCUGGCGUCUAACAACAAUAAGGUACGAUGGACGUCUGGAAAACGUGGUUUCUUCUUGGAAAACAAUUAUCCAUGUCUAUCCAUAUAUGGGGAGAUGGACAUGGACUUGGACUACAGGAUUAAGUAUUUAUGUAGAAAUGAUGUGCUGAUCGACUUCCAUGAUAUGAAGGUUUAUCUCUUUCAUGUUUGAUAUAUGUUUAUUAAAAUUUUCUAUCUUAUUACAAGCCUUUAUGAGAACUGCAGUUUCUAUGAUGAUGACAUCCCAUUGAGGAUGAGCAAAUCAUUACUGAGGAAGGGGAAAUAAAAUAUGUUGUGACUCGGAGAAAGAUCGGCAAAUGGGAGACCGGGUAUAUCUUAGUUUGCAUCACGGGAGUGAAUGGAAACAAAAGCACAAGAUUGUUGUACGUGCUCCUCAUUGGCGACACAUGCUCCUCAUAAACACUUUUACAUUCUUAAACGUGGUGAAGAAAAUGUACCCUAAAAAUGGAUAAAUAGCAGCUGCGACAAUUGAGAGGUGUUUAGAUUCUUUAUAGAGCUCUAUGCACUGUACUGCGACAACAUCGUAUUAUGUAUUUUAAAUGUUCUUCAAAAAUUAGAUCUGUGUAUUUUUUUACGUUUUAUGUGAAAGUUUGGAGAUGUAUGCACUAUAC
Long non-coding RNA from Papaver somniferum (opium poppy), 1065 nucleotides. RefSeq lists it as uncharacterized. The record is from RefSeq and is a predicted model, not a curated record. The transcript has 6 exons. Lineage: Eukaryota; Viridiplantae; Streptophyta; Magnoliopsida; Ranunculales; Papaveraceae.